Molecule: ribosomal RNA, 498 nt
Filed under: uncultured bacterium
Lineage: Bacteria
Description: partial 16S ribosomal RNA
Rfam family: Bacterial small subunit ribosomal RNA
Source: RNAcentral
AUUGAACGCUGGCGGCAUGCCUUACACAUGCAAGUCGAACGGUAACAGGUCUUCGGACGCUGACGAGUGGCGAACGGGUGAGUAAUACAUCGGAACGUGCCCAGUCGUGGGGGAUAACUACUCGAAAGAGUAGCUAAUACCGCAUACGAUCUGAGGAUGAAAGCGGGGGACCUUCGGGCCUCGCGCGAUUGGAGCGGCCGAUGGCAGAUUAGGUAGUUGGUGGGAUAAAAGCUUACCAAGCCGACGAUCUGUAGCUGGUCUGAGCGGACGACCAGGCACGCUGGGACUGAGACACGGCCCAGACUCCUACGGGAGGCAGCAGUGGGGAAUUUUGGACAAUGGGCGAAAGCCUGAUCCAGCAAUGCCGCGUGCAGGAUGAAGGCCUUCGGGUUGUAAACUGCUUUUGUACGGAACGAAAAAGUCUCCUCUAAUACAGGAGGCCCAUGACGGUACCGUAAGAAUAAGCACCGGCUAACUACGUGCCAGCCGCCGCCGUAA